Molecule: long non-coding RNA, 472 nt
Organism: Aphis gossypii (cotton aphid)
Lineage: Eukaryota; Metazoa; Arthropoda; Insecta; Hemiptera; Aphididae
Exons: 3
Source: RefSeq, a predicted model, not a curated record
UUCAAUAAAAAACAGAGAUCAAAUAAAGAAUAGUUAUAGUUAUAGUUUGCUUUAAAUAUAAAGAAUAAUCUUAACAGAUUAAUAACUCACUUAUAAUAAUAUUAAUAAAAUUAAUUAAUUAUUAUUAAUAGCUAUGAACUAUGAUUGUAUUUAAAUUUUAAAAAAGGUUCACCGAUGACCAAGCAUUAUUUUGACAUCUGUUGUUAAAAGUUAAGGAAAUUCCUGGAAAACGGUAAUAUUCCAGAGAAUAUCCAGUGAGUCAUGGGAAAAAUAUCGUUCCUCGUGGAAAAAAAUACAACCUAUAUUUUUGGUGCCAAAUGGAUAAGUAAUCAACAAGUAAUCGGGUCAAUCACAGAUUUAUCAGAAGAAACUAAGUGAUAGAGCUAAUUAACAUUGAAGAAAUAAAAUUUGAUAUCAUGUGGCGAAUUUAAAAAGUUAUGAUAUGAAUUUAAAAUUAAAAAGCUCUUUCUUA